Molecule: ribosomal RNA, 274 nt
Filed under: uncultured bacterium
Lineage: Bacteria
Description: partial 16S ribosomal RNA
Rfam family: Bacterial small subunit ribosomal RNA
Source: RNAcentral
AUACGGAGGGGGUUAGCGUUGUUCGGAAUUACUGGGCGUAAAGCGCGCGUAGGCGGAUUGGUAAGUUAGAGGUGAAAUCCCGGGGCUCAACCCCGGAACUGCCUUUAAUACUGCCAGUCUUGAGUUCGAGAGAGGUGAGUGGAAUUCCUAGUGUAGAGGUGAAAUUCGUAGAUAUUAGGAGGAACACCAGUGGCGAAGGCGGCUCACUGGCUCGAUACUGACGCUGAGGUGCGAAAGCGUGGGGAGCAAACAGGAUUAGAAACCCUAGUAGUCC